Molecule: ribosomal RNA, 493 nt
Filed under: uncultured bacterium
Lineage: Bacteria
Description: partial 16S ribosomal RNA
Rfam family: Bacterial small subunit ribosomal RNA
Source: RNAcentral
GACGAACGCUGGCGGCGUGCUUAACACAUGCAAGUCGAACGGUGAAGGGACCGGUUUUUGCUGGUUCUGGAUGAGUGGCGAACGGGUGAGUAACACGUGAGUAACCUGCCCCCUUCUUCUGGAUAACCGCAUGAAAGUGUGGCUAAUACGGGAUAUUCUGCGCCUGCUGCAUGGUGGGUGUGGGAAAGAUAUUGUUUCGGUGGGGGAUGGGCUCGCGGCCUAUCUGCUUGUUGGUGGGGUGAUGGCCUACCCAGGCGGUGACGGGUAGCCGGCCUGAGAGGGUGGACGGUCACACUGGGACUGAGACACGGCCCAGACUCCUACGGGAGGCAGCAGUGGGGAAUAGUGCACAAUGGGCGCAAGCCUGAUGCAGCGACGCCGCGUGAGGGAUGGAGGCCUGCGGGUUGUAAACCUCUUUCGCCAGUGAAGCAGGCCUGUCCCUUUUGUGGGUGGGUUGACGGUAGCUGGAUAAGAAGCGCCGGCUAACUACGUG